GAGUGGGGAGGAGAGAGGGACAGAGAGCCUGCUUCUUUAAAGGAGCAAAGCGGGAGAGGAGAGGAGCCGCUUACACGAGUUGUCUGGUUGUCUCCUUUAAAGCAAGCAGGCUCUCUGUCCCUCUCUUCUCCUCACUCA
Podarcis lilfordi (Lilford's wall lizard) is the source of this 138-nucleotide non-coding RNA. The record is from the annotation of a GenBank genome assembly. NCBI's taxonomy places the organism in Eukaryota, Metazoa, Chordata, Lepidosauria, Squamata, Lacertidae.